UUUAUUUUAUUUUAUUUUAUUUUUUUGGUUCAUUAUAUGUGCAGUAGUGUGGAUUGAUAUCGCAUCCAAUCCUGUUGCUCUUCGUCCCAUUGAGGUGCUGUGGUACAGCAUUCCAUUCUUUUUGUGAUUCAUGUGGAAUCUUGAAAUCAAGGAGGGUGUAGGAGACUCUUCUAGUUUUUGUAUACUGAAGGUAGAACUCCAAGGAUUGCGGAUCAAUGCAUUUGAGUUGGUUUUUGCUCAAAUUUUUUC
This 249-nucleotide long non-coding RNA is filed under the name Physcomitrium patens. Its description in RNAcentral is "long non-coding RNA (PPAT_LNC002216)". The record is from RNAcentral. Lineage: Eukaryota; Viridiplantae; Streptophyta; Bryopsida; Funariales; Funariaceae.